ACUGCUCAGUAACACGUGGACAACCUGCCCUUAGGUUGGGUAUAAACCCGGGAAACUGGGUAUAAUACCCGAUAGGUCUCGAUUGCUGGAAUGCAUCGAGAUUUAAAGCUCCGGCGCCUAAGGAUGGGUCUGCGGCCUAUCAGGUAGUAGUGGGUGUAGCGUACCUACUAGCCUACGACGGGUACGGGUUGUGAGAGCAAGAGCCCGGAGAUGGAUUCUGAGACACGAAUCCAGGCCCUACGGGGUGCAGCAGGCGCGAAAACUUUACAAUGCUGGCAACAGCGAUAAGGGAACCUCGAGUGCCAGGUUACAAAUCUGGCUGUCGAGAUGCCUAAAAAGCAUUUCAUAGCAAGGGCCGGGCAAGACCGGUGCCAGCCGCCGCGGUAACACCGGCGGCUCGAGUGGUAACCGUUAUUAUUGGGUCUAAAGGGUCUGUAGCCGGCCGGAUAAGUCUCUUGAGAAAUCUGGCAGCUUAACUGUCAGGCUUUCAGGAGAUACUGUCUGGCUCGAGGCCGGGAGAGGUGAGAGGUACUUCAGGGGUAGGGGUGAAAUCUUGUAAUCCUUGAAGGACCACCAGUGGCGAAGGCGUCUCACCAGAGCGGACCUGACGGCAAGGGACGAAAGCUAGGGGCACGAACCGGAUUAGAUACCCGGGUAGUCCUAGCCGUAAACGAUACUCGCUAGGUGUCGGCCACGGUGCGACCGUUGUCGGUGCCGUAGGGAAGCCGUGAAGCGAGCCACCUGGGAAGUACGGCCGCAAGGCUGAAACUUAAAGGAAUUGGCGGGGGAGCAC
RNAcentral lists this ribosomal RNA (793 nucleotides) under uncultured archaeon. RNAcentral's name for it is "bacterial SSU rRNA". It matches the Rfam family "Archaeal small subunit ribosomal RNA", at positions 85 to 879 of the family's 1478-position model. The record is from RNAcentral.